AGAGAAAAAGUCAGACACCUAGUAUCUGGAACUUGAGAUAUUUUCCUUCAGCAUCCAACAAGGCAAUUUCUCAUACACCCGAGGUUAUCUUAGUUCUAAGAUACAGGGCAGUCUAUCAAUAAGUGACUCUAGAUUAUGUCUCAGCAUAUAACAAACAUACACAAGAGGAGCAUGAGAAACGGGGUAAGAGAAGAUGACUGAGGCAAAGAAGUCACUAAAUACUUCGUAUGUUUAUUAAAAAAAUCUUUCACCAUAGCCGACUUUAAAAAAAGUAAAGAUCAAAUGGCUAGAAACACUGGUAUGAAAAAGAGGUGCAAUUAACAGGGCCUCAAAAGAACAAUAAAGGGUAUUUAGAAUUUGUCUAGUAACAUCAGCAUUUCCUGUUGGGGCACAAAAUGACAACGAUACACACUAGAUAAGGACAGACAACCAAAUUCAGACUGCCAGUUCUUUAAGACUUUUAAAUUGUUUUAUGUGUGCCUGAUACCCUGCUAAUUCUCAGGCAUCUGCAGUGAUCACACACACACUUUUCUGUUUACAGCUACUGAUGUCACUGUCUCUCACCCCUAUGAGCCUUUCCUUCAACUCCACCGCAGUCGAGCUCUCUUGACCGCUUCAGCCCCUCUCACUACUCUCAAGCUCUUUAAACCUUACUCAACACUUUGUCCUUCCCUAUAGAUUUUUUUUAAGAAAAUAGCUCAUAUAGCCUAGGUAGCCUCAAAUUCCAGAUGCCCACGUGACCCCCAAAAGUUACAAUUACAGGCCAUGUGUCACCACGCCCAGCUGCUCCUGACCCUUUAAUAUUUACCCAAUUCAAGUAUCCUAAGGCACUCAAAACCUACUUACAUGGGAUCCAUAAAAUACGAUACGAAAAAUUCUGGGUCUGUGUAUGGUAUUUCUAAAAAAAAAAAAAAUUAAGACCUGGACAUGGUCAAAACAACCCUGUAAAGGGGCUGGAGAGAUGGCUCAGAGGUUAAGAGCACUAGCUGCUCUUCCAGAGGUCCUGAGUUCAAUUCCCAGCAACCACAUGGUGGCUCACAACCAUCUGUAAUGAGAUCUGGUGCCUCUUCUGGUGUAUAUAUGUUAACAACAUUGUAUGCAUAAUAAAUAAAUAAAUCUAAAAAAAACCCCUGUACAAUAAAGGAACUUCUGGAGGCAUCACAAUCCCUGACUCCAAACUCUACUACAGAGCUACAGUACUGAAAACAGACUGGUAUUGGCAUAAACACCAAUGGAACUGAAUCGAAGACCUGAAUAUCAAGUCACAUACUUUAGAACACCUGACUUUGACAAAGAAGAAAAAAUAUAAAAUGGAAAAAAAGAAAGCAUAUUCAACAAAUGGUUGAAUAACUGGAUAUCAACAUGUAAAAGAAUAAAAUAGAUCCAUAUUUAUUGCCGUGCAUAAAAUUCAAGUCCAAAUGGAUCAAAGACCUCAACAUAAAACCAACCACACUGAACCUCAUAGAAGAGACAGUGGGAAGUACAUUUGGAUACAUUAGCACAGGAGAUCACUUCUUAAAUAUGACCCCACAAUAGCACAGACACUGAGAAAAACAAUUAAUAAAUGGGACCCCAUGAAACUGAAAAGCUUUUGUAAAGCAACGGACGCAGUCAACAAGACAAAACGGCAGCCUACAUAAUGGGGAAAGAUCUUCACCCACCCCACAUCAGACAGAGGGCUGAUCUUUAAAAUACACAAAGAACUCAAGAAAUUGGUCAUCAAAAGAACAAAUAAUCCAAUUUUAAAAAAAAUGGAGUACAGACCUAAACAGAGAACUCUCAACAGAGGAAUCUAAAAUGGCUGAACGACACUUAAGGAAAUGCUCAACAUCCUUAGUCAUCAGAGAAAUGCAAAUCAAAACAACUCUGAGAUUCCAUCAUACACCUGUAAGAAUGGCCAAGAUCAAAACCACUGAUGACAAUUUAUGCUGUGUGGUAAAGGAAAACACUCCGUGAUUGCUGGUGGGAGUGCAAACUGGUAGAGCCACUUUGGAUUUCAGUAUGGUGAUUUCUUAGAAAAUCAGGAAACAACCUACCUCAUGACCCCAGCAAUACUACUUUUGGAUAUAUACCCAAAGAUGCUCAGUCAUACCACAAGGACAUGUGCUCAACCAUGUUCAUAGCAGCUUUGUUUGUCAUAGCCAAAACCUGGAAACAGCCUAAAUGCCUCUCGACUGAAGAAUGGAUAAAGAUGGUGUGGCACAUUUAUGCAAUGGAGUACACGGGGGAGGGGGGGGGGUAAGUGGAUGGAUCUAGAAGACAGUGUAUUGAGUGACGUAACCCAGAUCCAGAAAGACAAAUAUAGAAUGUACUCACUCAUAAGUGGCUUUUAGACAUAAAAAGCAAAGAAAAACCAGCCUACAAUUCACAAUCCCAGAGAACCUACACAACAAAGAGGGCCCUAAGAGAGACAUACAUGGAUCUAAUCUACAUGUAAAGUAGAAAAAGACAAGAUCUCCUGAGUAAACUGGGAGCAUGGGGAUCAUGGGACGGGUAGAAGGGAAGGGAGUGGAGAAAAAUAUAUAGCUCAAUAAAAACAUGAUGUGGGAAUGAUUUCUUACUAAUAAAGAAACUGCCUUGGCCCAUUUUAUUGGAUAGAAAAUUAGGUAGGCGGAAUAUACAGAAGAGAAUUCUGGGAGAAAGAAGGUUAGAGGAAGAGUCGCCAUGAUUCUCCUGCUCCAGACAGACGCAGGUUAAGAUCCUCUCUGGUAAGCCAACUCAUGGGCUACACAGAAUAUUAGAAAUGGGUUAGAACAAUAUGUAAGAGCUAGCCAAUAAGAAACUGGACCUAGCCGGGCCAGGCAGUGUUUGAAAGAA
This is a long non-coding RNA of Alexandromys fortis (reed vole), 2817 nucleotides long. RefSeq lists it as uncharacterized. The record is from RefSeq and is a predicted model, not a curated record. The transcript is spliced from 2 exons. Lineage: Eukaryota; Metazoa; Chordata; Mammalia; Rodentia; Cricetidae.